Mesoplodon densirostris (Blainville's beaked whale) is the source of this 1404-nucleotide long non-coding RNA. RefSeq lists it as uncharacterized. Lineage: Eukaryota; Metazoa; Chordata; Mammalia; Artiodactyla; Ziphiidae. The record is from RefSeq and is a predicted model, not a curated record. The transcript has 4 exons.
GCUACCAGCGCAAAGCCGAAACUCGCCCGCAAACAGGCUCUGGAGGCUGUGACUGCUGCAGCGGACCCUGGGAAAGCGAGUUGACGCCACUACAGCAUUUUGAAGAGGAAAAGCGGAGACCCUCAGCUACAGAUCUUCGAAAUUUCUUACAUGACUUCUGAUCUUCACAACUGUGCAAUCCAUUUUUAAAACGGGAAAAAGACUCUGAAAUCAGAAGUUGUACGUCUAGAGUUGCUUAUUCACCAUAUUUCAUUGUCUUGAUAGCAUCACUAGAACGACCUACCGAAGAAAGUACCAUUUGAGUCUCCAUCCUCAUGCUUCUGCUGCUGUUGCUGCUGCUGUUGCUGCUGCUCCCUCAGUUGCAAGGAUUCCUGACAAACAUAAAUGGUUAGCCUUGGGCGCACCAUCCUAAGGAGGAAAAGAAAAAAAGCUGUUACUCAAAUUUUUCAUGAAAGCUCAUCAAUGUAUCACCAAAGCCUAAUGGCUCAUAACAGGGACAAUGGAUAUUUAACUGAAUGAAGAAAACUAAUGAAAAAUGGAAUAUCAUGAGGAAUUCCUUGGAUCAAGUACAGGAAAAGAUAUUUUUCAUCUUUAUUUGGCAUAUAGCUGGCAUUCAAAAAGAAUGUUUCGACAAGAUGUAUUUAGCUGUACAAAAAGUAUGGUGAAGAGUCCCUGAAUCCAAAUCCAUUUGAAAUCCAGCCCCACUGAUAUUUUAACACUAAUUACAUACCGGCCUUUCAAUGCAUUAAAAAGUCUGAUUCCAUCUGCAGGGCCACAGAUUUGAAUCACAUCAUCUCUAGUUAGUUUCAAUAAAUCUGCCCCUGGAAUAAAUAUAAGAAAAUGGGUGAUAAAGGCAAAGAUUCUCCUUGUUAAUGACUUAAAAUGGACUCUGUUACAAGGACACCUCAUUACUAGUAUGCUACAGUCAUAAUCUCUUGCAUGGCAUAUAAGGCCCUCCAUGACCUGGCCCCUGCAUCCUCUCCCACCUCAAUUCCCACCCAAUUAACUUAUUCAUUUAACCCUAUGCUUUCAUCAUGCUGAUCAUGCCUAAUGAGCAAGCUGUUCCUCCUGUCUGAAAUAUCCUUCCACUGUCUGACCAACAGACUCUUCCUCAGCCCUCAAGAUUUACCUCACACAUCACACAUGUUCCCAAACUCCAGACCCUUACUCUUAUCUAUUGCAUCACAACUAUUUGUUUACCUUUUUCAGGGUUUUAUUUUGAUUUGGGUUUCCUUUGAUACUAGAUGGUGACUGAUCAGGAAAUAUGCCUCAUCCAUUUGUGUAUUCCUACCAUACCUGGUACACAGAAUGUGCUAAAUAAGAGUGGAAUGUGCAAAGAAAACAUAAUAUAGUGAUAUCAAGGGGAAGAUUUCCGACUACCUGCAAUGCUCCUUGAUAUAAUAC